Molecule: long non-coding RNA, 223 nt
Filed under: Brassica napus (rape)
Lineage: Eukaryota; Viridiplantae; Streptophyta; Magnoliopsida; Brassicales; Brassicaceae
Description: long non-coding RNA (BNAP_LNC000704)
Source: RNAcentral
CUUCUUGUUUCUUGCAUUAACAAAAGUUGCAUCUAAAAUUUCAAAAUGAUAACUAAAUUAGUGUCUUUCUAUUUUUAAAGUUUUAUCUCCAAACCUAUUAAUAGUUUAAUCUUUUAAAAAUUAAAAAAACAGUUAAGUUAAAAUAUAUUUUAAAUACAAAAAAACUUAAACAAUGAAUAAUUUAUUUAUUUUUUCUUCAAAAUUUAAAUUUCCGAACCCGACC